UUUCCGUAGGUGAACCUGCGGAAGGAUCAUUAUAAAUGAAAAACGAAUAACUUCAGGGAAGAAGGGAACCUGCACGGUGACCUCCCCUGUCGGGCCACCCAAUACCUUCAAAAUGCCGCCGUCCUAGCGGUGGCAGACGAAAAAAAAACAAGAAAAACAAAAUAGAAACAGGCACGGUGGCCCGUUCACCUUCACACAACCCCCCGAGUACCGCUUCCAUGUUGCUUCCCCGCAAAUCCACCUCUUUGGUGAGCGCGGGGGAGGUCCGCAUCAAAUUCACCUGAAUGUCACAGCAGUCAGACAGCCAUUCAUGGAAACAAUAAAACUUUCAACAACGGAUCUCUUGGUUCCC
Molecule: unclassified non-coding RNA, 352 nt
Filed under: plant metagenome
Description: partial contains small subunit ribosomal RNA, internal transcribed spacer 1, and 5.8S ribosomal RNA
Source: RNAcentral